AUACGGAGGAUCCGAGCGUUAUCCGGAUUUAUUGGGUUUAAAGGGUGCGCAGGCGGCCAUUUAAGUCAGCGGUUAAAUCGUGGGGCUCAACCCCAUUCUGCCGUUGAUACUGGGUGGCUUGAUUGCGGUCGAGGUUGGCGGAAUUCGUUGUGUAGCGGUGAAAUGCAUAGCUAUGACGAAGAACACCGAUUGCGUAGGCAGCUGACCAGACCGCAAAUGACGCUCAUGCACGAAAGUGCGGGGAUCGAACAGGAUUAGAUACCCUGGUAGUCCGCACAGUAAACGAUGAAUACUUGUUUUCGGCGAUAUAAUGUCGGAGGCAAAGCGAAAGCGAUAAGUAUUCCACCUGGGGAGUACGCCGGCAACGGUGAAACUCAAAUGAAUCGGCGGGG
This 392-nucleotide ribosomal RNA is filed under the name uncultured bacterium. RNAcentral describes it as "partial 16S ribosomal RNA". It matches the Rfam family "Bacterial small subunit ribosomal RNA", at positions 523 to 918 of the family's 1533-position model. The record is from RNAcentral.